GGACCGGACAAACGUUAUUCGGAAUCACUGGGCUUAAAGAGUACGUAGGCGGCCAUGCAAGUUGGGUGUGAAAUCCCUCGGCUCAACCGAGGAACUGCGCCCAAAACUGCACGGCUUGAGGAAGGUAGGGGUGAGCGGAACUGAUGGUGGAGCGGUGAAAUGCGUUGAUAUCAUCAGGAACACCGGUGGCGAAGGCGGCUCACUGGGCCUUCUCUGACGCUGAGGUACGAAAGCUAGGGUAGCGAACGGGGAUUAGAUACCCCGGUAGUCCUAGCUGUAAACGAUGAGCACUAGAUCGAGGGGGAAUCCACUUCUUCUUGGUCGUAGCGAAAGUGUUAAGUGCUCCGCCUGGGGAGUAUGGUCGCAAGGCUG
This 372-nucleotide ribosomal RNA is filed under the name uncultured organism. Its description in RNAcentral is "partial 16S ribosomal RNA". It matches the Rfam family "Bacterial small subunit ribosomal RNA", at positions 527 to 896 of the family's 1533-position model. The record is from RNAcentral.